Non-coding RNA from Microcebus murinus (gray mouse lemur), 1011 nucleotides. Lineage: Eukaryota; Metazoa; Chordata; Mammalia; Primates; Cheirogaleidae. The record is from RefSeq and is a predicted model, not a curated record.
UUUGACUGAGUGCUUUGUGUACAGUUUCUCACAGGACAGACCCCUGCACUGCAAAACCUUCUCCUAUACUGGAAUUUACACUGAACUCAUGACCUGCUCUUCAAUUUUCCCAUCCACGGAUCCCCAGUUUCUCACGCUUCUACCCUCAGAAUCAUUUCGGAGACAUUGCUCCCCUCCUUCAUGAAUAAUUCACUCUCCUUUGUUAUAACAAAUGUACAUCGAAAACCCUACUAAGUGCCUGAGAUACGAAGUUAAAUAAAAGAACAAUCCUACCUUCCAGAGACUCAGAGUGUGGUGUGAAAGAAAGACACAUAUGCAAGUGACGACAACACAAGUUGGACUAAGAUCAGCUCCGGCGUAGACAUACAGAAUGAAAUGCCUGAGGAGUAGAGUUUCAACAGGCAGAAUGUGAGGGGAAGCAUUCGAAGCAACUGUGACAACAUGAGCACCAGCACAACGUGAGAGACGGGCGAGCAUAUUCAGGGAAACGAAAGCGAUCUGUGCACGGAGCAGCGCGUGGCGGGAUUCGGUCAGAGACGAGGCUGAUGCCUUCUGUCUAUCAGAGCACAGAACCCCAAAUGAACAGUUGUGAGCAUUCUCAAUUGUAACUGAAGAAGACCUGGAAUCUAAGCUGCUUGUUCAAGGUCAUUCUGCUCAUUAAAGGCAGAACUCAGAAUUCAAACCAGAUCAUCUCAUUCCCAGCUUAGCGCUUUUGCCAAAGGAUUCCACUAUUUAGAAGAAGGAAGUUGACACCGAAAUUUUAUGUAGCUUCAUUCAGGGGACUGUGGAGUGUUAAAAAAAAAAUGACAAGAAGAAGGAAGGAAAAGCAAAACCUGGCCACGUGCUUUAAGAUUCACCUUUGGGAGGAGGCAGAAAUUUAUUGUGAUCAUCUUGUCUGUUUCCAUGAAUUAGCAGCCGAUGUUUCUCAUUCCCACUUCCAUAGCAAAAUGGAAGAAAUGAGUUGUACCCAAAUUUUUCUGGAAUAAUGGCACAAAAUGAUUUGUUUUAAUA